This 74-nucleotide transfer RNA is filed under the name subsurface metagenome. RNAcentral describes it as "tRNA-Met". The record is from RNAcentral.
AGCGGCGGAGAACCGGUGUUCAAUCAGGUCCCAUAAGCCUGACUCUGUUGGUUCGACUCCAACCCCCGCUACCA